GCUCCGGUGGCCAAGUUGGAUUAAGGCAUGUGGCUUAUGUUUCUCAGAUCUGGUUUCGAGAUCUUCGAGUUCAUGGGGUUUUAAUCGCAGAAAAGGUUGCUUUUCUACACGAAACCGCGAGAUCGUGGGUUCGAGUCCCACCCGGAGCA
RNAcentral lists this transfer RNA (149 nucleotides) under Mycosarcoma maydis (corn smut). Its description in RNAcentral is "tRNA-Ile for anticodon UAU". It matches the Rfam family "tRNA". Rfam says of the family: Transfer RNA (tRNA) molecules are approximately 80 nucleotides in length. Their secondary structure includes four short double-helical elements and three loops (D, anti-codon, and T loops). Lineage: Eukaryota; Fungi; Basidiomycota; Ustilaginomycetes; Ustilaginales. The record is from RNAcentral.